RNAcentral lists this long non-coding RNA (1414 nucleotides) under Zea mays. RNAcentral describes it as "long non-coding RNA (ZMAY_LNC002232)". The record is from RNAcentral. Lineage: Eukaryota; Viridiplantae; Streptophyta; Magnoliopsida; Poales; Poaceae.
UAUUCUGUAUGCAACAUGUGGUUCAAUCCAACACGAUAGGACAAAAUUCCUGGCAGACGUUGUUUUUUGCAUACUAAUUCAUGUCUAGUCUUCCAGUUUGAUUAUGAUCAGGCACAAAAACACGUGGCAAGCGAGACCUUGACCUUAGAGCUGAAGAACAACGUGCGGGAUACUGAAGAGAUGACAGGUCCAGCAUUUUCCACUGCCAUUGAUUUUCCGCCGGAUAUAUAAACUACUGCUUCUCUCUUUACUUUGCAUGCAAGAGUUGUACUAUACUAUACCAGCAUUUUUAUUUCUCGGUCAGCGAUUUGUGUUCCUCGGUGUUGUUCGUUUCAACGGAAGGGGUCAAGCUAGACUCAAGAGCUGCAUUUUUACGAGAAAGCAUGUGGGGUGAAAACAGUGUCUUCACCGCUAGACAGACAUGGAUCAUCAGUCUAGAGAUGGCAAGAAACCCGAAUACCCGACAUGUUUAAUUUUACUCGAUAUAAAGAUGGUUAUAGAUGAUUUCUUCACUUUCUGAGUAAAAAUAGGUAAGAAUUUUUACCCAUUAGGUAGAUGGCUACCGAUACGGAUUGGUACUACAUAUACCCGUAUACACAUAGGUAAAAUAUACCUGCAUCAUACCACUAUAACCAUGCAUCUAAUAAAAUUCAUCUUAGUCAAAAUAAAAUCCUUCUCUAAUUAUCAUUUGUUUAACUAUCAAUUUAUGUAGUCAUAUGGUUUGUUAUAUUUUAAUUUAAACUUAUAUUUGUGUAUUUAUUUGAUAUUUUGAGUGAUUGGAAGAGGUGGACUCACCACCCAGGUAGCACAGGCUGUGGCCUGGUCUGCCUUGCCGCCUAAAAGGUGCACACAAGUCUAAAUAUUUAAGCCCAGCUGAUAAUCUUUAUUAGCAGUUGAUAAUCUCGUCUAGGUUGUCUUUAAUUCCUAGAUCCACCACUGGUGAUUGGUAUAAUAGAAAUUAAUACUUAUACCCGCGAUGUGUAAAAUUAACAGCGCGGAUAUAGGUAUAGGUAAGAUAUUAUAUCCGCGAGAGUAAUCUUUAUUAGCAGUUGAUAAUCUCGUCUAGGUUGUCUUUAAUUCCUAGAUCCACCACUGGUGAUUGGUAUAUUAGAAAUUAAUACUUAUACCCGCGAUGUGUAAAAUUAACAGCGCGGAUAUAGGUAUAGGUAAGAUAUUAUAUCCGCGAGAGUAAUCUUUAUUAGCAGUUGAUAAUCUCGUCUAGGUUGUCUUUAAUUCCUAGAUCCACCACUGGUGAUUGGUAUAUUAAGAAAUUAAUACUUAUACCCGUGAUGUGUAAAAUUAACAGCGCGGAUAUAGGUAUAGGUAAGAUAUUAUAUCCGCGAGAGUAUAUGAAUAACCCGAUAAGUAAGAUUUUUUAUGGGUACGGAUAUAUAAUGAUACUACUCGACUGGUU